AACGAACGCUGGCGGCAUGCCUAACACAUGCAAGUCGAACGAGACCUUCGGGUCUAGUGGCGCACGGGUGCGUAACGCGUGGGAACCUGCCUUUAGGUUCGGAAUAACUCAGAGAAAUUUGAGCUAAUACCGGAUGAUGUCUUCGGACCAAAGAUUUAUCGCCUUUAGAUGGGCCGGCGUUGGAUUAGCUAGUUGGUGGGGUAAAGGCCUACCAAGGCGACGAUCCAUAGCUGGUCUGAGAGGAUGAUCAGCCACACUGGGACUGAGACACGGCCCAGACUCUUACGCGAGGCGGCAGAGGGUGAUAUUGGACAGCGGGCUAAGGCCUGAAGCAGCUAGGACGCGAGAGUGAUGAAGGCUUUGGGGUUGUAAAGCUCUUUUACCCGUGAUGGUAAUGACGGUAUCGGGAGAAUAAGCUCCGGCUAACUCCGUG
RNAcentral lists this ribosomal RNA (433 nucleotides) under uncultured bacterium. RNAcentral's name for it is "partial 16S ribosomal RNA". It matches the Rfam family "Bacterial small subunit ribosomal RNA", at positions 29 to 507 of the family's 1533-position model. The record is from RNAcentral.